AUGCGGGCAGGUUCAAACAUUACUUGUAAACACGUAACUUCGCUCACAUCUGUAACGCGCAUGCGCGAGUAGUAGCUCUCCUGCAUGUAGGCCGGGUGGUCUGAACGUCUGAACGCAGAAGCGUAAAUCAGGCUUGACACAACCGUUUCGUGUUGCCGUCUCCUCCUCCUCCGCCUCCUCCUCCUCCUCCUCCUCCGGAAGGGUGCGCUCAUACUCAGCAGUCGUUCGUAGCUUGAUAGAGAGAAACACAACCGACCAGUUGUCCAGAAGUGUUAUUCUAUUCUCAUAUGUGUAAAUGUGUUAGAGGGGAACUCACUGACUGAGCAGUUUACUCGUUUAAGAGCUUCACAAGAUUCAAGACGUCCAAGAGGGGCAUGAUCCGACACCACCGUAAACUGUCGGCCCAGGAGGUAGAACCGCAGGGAUUUCAGGGCCCAGGGAGGAGAUGAUCUGCAGCAUCCUGGUGAUCUUCAUCCUG
This is a non-coding RNA of Gasterosteus aculeatus aculeatus (three-spined stickleback), 478 nucleotides long. Lineage: Eukaryota; Metazoa; Chordata; Actinopteri; Perciformes; Gasterosteidae. The record is from RefSeq and is a predicted model, not a curated record.